UCCCCAUCCCACCUCGCCCCCGUUACCGUUUGUCCCCCCCGCCGCCCUCGGCCUAGGCGCAGGCCGGGACGCGCUGGCCGCCUGUGGUGCUGCCGGGCUUGGCUGCUGCUGGGGAGAGAAGGGCAGAAGCUGGCUGGAUGCCUAGCGCUUUGGUGAACGCACCGCCAGCCCAAGAGAUUCUUGUCCCAAGCAUGGUGGAUUAGAUCAGGGGAUGGGCGGCCGUGCAGGAUGCGGAGGGAGGAUUCCUGCCGCAGCGUGACUGCUAUGUUGGGUGCUGGAGUUUUAAGAGGAAAAGAUGCAAACAACGUGACGGAGGUGAGCACAUUCUGUAGGUGUUUGCAUCUGCUCAGAUGAACCUGCCGCCAGUCAAGAGUCUUGUCUUUGAGUUCAGCAUCUGCAGCGGCAGUUGGAGAAUAGCUGCCACUUUGUGAGGAAGCUCAAGGAAGCUUCAGCACCUUCAGAGACUGAGCUGAGGAAACUAGUGACUGCCUGGAAGUGUGUUUCUUCUGGCAGCGAGAGAAGGUUCUGAAGCACUUUGAAAUGACACAGGAAGAAACCAGAAAAUUGUGUUCUUGUUUUAUGACCUGCAGCAUCAGGUUAUGAUGAGAGAUUAUGGAACUGCUUUCACUGAUUUUUUUAAAAUAGACUUAACAGCUACUGAAUGUGCUCUGUUUGGGCAGCCUGAUCCUUUCCUGGUGUGCAUGUUUGGUUUCGGUGCCAUCUUGAAGUCCCUCCCAGAUAAGCAUUUCUGCCCUUUCUACUGUGCUGUCAUGCGUGGCUCAAUAAAACAGAAGCAUGAAGGUGUGGUGUGACGUGGCAGAGAGGAGAUACUCGCUGGGGUCUGAAGUCAGUCCUGUGUUCUAUAAGAAGCGGCCCCACAGAAGAACAAGGAAUGCCCUGCCAGUCUGCUCAGGAUAGUACUUGAGUUUGCAGCCUACCUGGGUCCAGCUAUGGCAAUACCUUUUGGCUACCCAGUGUGCCGAGGGGCCAACCAACACAGAUUCCUUUGUGCCUCAUUAAGAGCGUGCAGCCUGUGCAGCAUUUCUGAUGAUGGGCUUUGCUGACGCUCACUGUGGGCAGGUGGAAUUGGUGCACAGAAUUGUCUGAAUCCAUUGCAAGAAGAGAGAAACGUUUCAGAAGUGAUAUUUGUGCCCUAGUGUUUUGAUGUGAUAGCAGCAAGCUUCAGACGGGGAUACAUGCAAGGCAUCUGUGCCAGAUCACCGUAGUCACUGGGUUGUCUGUCACCCUGCUGAGUCCAGUCGUUAUGUUUUAUAGCUGAUAUAGGGAAGGUGCAAAGACUGUGGUAACACAUCUGGGCCCAUCUGUAUUUCUGGGUGCAUGUUGCAUCCCGGUGAAGUUUGGGAAUUACAGCUGCCAAUGUGCCCCUUGUGACUAGCAUCUGGCUAAUUUCAAGCCUGUGCUGGUGUUCAGCAGUCUCUACUCUUGCUGCUUCUCAAAACCUGAGUACUGAGCAGGGCUCAGUAGCUGUCCUGUUCCCUGGAAGCUGGAAUGGUCCCUAUUUCAGCCCUUUUUUUAACUUGAUGAAUUCCUCCCAGGCCAGGUGAGCAAUGGUGCUCUGAAAAAGCAAACCCCUCUGGGUUUCUAUAAGGGAGCUCUGGACGAACCAACGAGAGUUGCAUCUCCUCCUGCAGAUCCAAACCAGUAUGUGGACAAGCAGGGCAGAGCUGCGUGCUGGGACAGUACCUCUCUGUGGCCAUGCACCCUGCUCACCAAGCAGAGCAGCCAGGGUGCCUCUGGAAGCUUGCAGGCACAAUUAUGGCACCCACUCUGCUCACAAGAGCCUUGCCAGCCAGCAAGCAGAAACGGGGCAUCAGCCAGCCCUGUUCAGGGUUACCAGGAGUACUGUGUGAGGUAGAAAAAUCAAGGACAUGAUGGGCUUGGAGGGAGACAACCCAUAGACUUCAUCCUGUACCAUGCGUGCCCAGUGGUGCUGACUGCAGAAAGCAGGGUGCAGAUUACUGCACCUUAAGAAGGACACGGAGCUGUUGGAGUGAAUCCAGAGAAGGCUGCAAAGCUCAUCAGAGGGCUGGAGCACCUCUCCUGUGAAGAGAGCCUGAGAGAGUUGGAGUUGUUCAGCCUGGAGAAGAGAAGGCUCCAGGGAGAUUUUAGAGCAGCUCCCAGUACCUAAAGGGGCUGACAAGAAGGCUGGGGAGGGACUUUUACAAAGGCAUAUAGUGAUAGGACAAGAUGGAAUGGCUUUAAACUGAAAGAGGGGAUAUUUAGAUUAGAUACUAGGAAGAAUUUUUUUCUGUGAGGGUGGUGAGACAUACGAACAGGCUGCCCAGAGCAGCUGUGGGUGCCCCAUCCCUGGCAGGGCUCAGGGCCAGGCUGGACGGGGCUGGGAGCAGCCUGGGCUGGGGGGAGGGGGCCCUGCCUAUGGUGGGGGGAUUAGAACUGGAUGGUCUUUAAGGUCCUUUCUAUGAUUCUAUGAAGUGCAGUGCAGAGUGGGUUGAGCCAUGGCAAUCUGACCCCCUUGACACCCAUUUUCCUGACCCUAGUCUGCAGCUUAACUCUUGAAUAGUUGGGGGUUUUUUUCCCCCUGGUUCUCAAGUCUGGUGUGAUUUUAAGGCUCCUGUCUAUCCUCUGUGGAGAAUUGGGGUGACUAAAGGAAUUCUCUUGAUAUCUGGAAGAGAGCUAAUGCAACUCUAAUCUUUCAGAAGGAAAAGGAGAGUCCAGACUGUUAUGGACUGGUCAGCCUCAGCCUGGAAAGAACAUAGAGCAUAUCCUCUUGUGAUCCCUGUCUCCAAACAAAUGAAGCACAGGAAGGUAAUCGAGCAGCUGACAUGGAUUUGACCAACAGCAAAUUGUGCUUGACCAAGCACAAAGUUAAGGCUUUAAGUGCUUUAAAGCAGCAGCCCAUUAAAUAUUUUGUUUGUUAUCUUGUUGACAUCCCUCCUGUUAACGUCUCAUUAGAUCUUUCAGUGAUUGUUAACAGCUGUGGUGGUCAGGUUUUCUGAAGCAGUGGCUUAACACGUUCCUGGCACAGCUCAGUAUUCACACAGGCAUACCUCAGCUCCACAGAGGCACAAGGUGGGGUGUCGGGAGCGUGAGCACUGCCAGAAAUCUCUCCCAUCUGUAUUCCCCAGAGCACUAGGAGCUCCCCACACUACUUGUUGAGGGAUAGCAGGGGUUUAUGCCACUCCAGGGCAAGGAGCAGUUGUCCUGGGGUAAGGCAGCGCAGAGUCAGCGGCACAAGAAACCUCUCUUCCUCAAUAUACCACAGGGUGGCCAUCUGUACUGCCACGGGGAUGGCAGAGGGACCAUCCCUUGUGGGUGUGUGAAGACCAUAAACAUCUGCCAGGUGGCUGGAGGGUGAAGCUUGUUUGGGGGUCCCAGGAGCUUGAGAGAGUCGAUGUAAGUUGCUGAGAGCAACUCAGUCGCUGAGAGCUAGGAUGACUGCAGUGGCAUUUUAGGCAAAUGAACUGUCUGACCCCUCAGUGUCUUUCUAUAGUGAGGGGCCCAAAACUGAACACGGUAUUUGAGGUGUGGCCUUUCAUUCCCAGAGAAGUGAAAUUGCCUGUGGGUGGCAAAGGGUUGAGAAAUGCUUUUCUGAGUCCAGUACUGACUUCCGAUUAGCCAGCUGACCAGGGGAAUCCCAGUUUGCUCAUUAUACCAGCUUUCACAGGAAAAUCAGUAAGGACCUCCAAACCAGCUAGGGAACCUUCUGCACCAUGGCUCAUGGUCCCUGUACAUGAGGUCGUGUGUCCUCUUCUGCUGUUGCUGAAGUGCUUUGUUCUCUCUUUUUUGGUGUAAAUGUGCGACUGUUCCUGUGGCUCUUGCAGCUCUGCAUGACUCUAGUUGUGAAGUUACAGGUUGUCAUUAAGUACUGAAAACCUGGUGAAGUUAAUGGCAAUUGCAUGAACUUAGCCUAAACUCUGAGGCUUGUUCAAAUAGUCCAAGCCUAUAGUACAGCUAAAGGCUCAAACCCCGUCAGCUCCAGUCUAUCUGUGAAGGUCUGUGGGUCACAUAGAGUCCUGAGCAGGUGGAGACAGCCAGAGUUCUUGUAGCCAAAUUGCAAACUAUUUUCCCAUCUUAGGCAAUUUUUUAUUUGCCCGAAGUCCAGUAUAUUGACCUCACAUAGACUCUCAAGUCCUUCCUCUACUCAUUACUAUUUGAGAUAUUGAAACCUAGCAGGUUUAAAAGUUAAUUUGCAAUUGCACUUACUCCACAAUAUACUGAAGGCCUGCAGAGAGAAGGCACAAUGCAUUCUCUUCAGAUGAUUUGCAGCCCGGGCACAAAGAUGCAGUUAAGUAGGGCAACAGCGACUGAGCAAUCAGCAAAACAUGUUUCAGAGAAUCACAGAAUAGUGUGGGUUGAAGGGAGCUUUAAAGGUCACUUAGUCCAAGCCCCUGUCAUGAGCAGGGUCAUCUUCAACUAGAUCAUGAUGCUCAGAGCCCUGUCCAACCUGGCCCUGAAUGUUUCCAGGGAUGGGGCAUCUACCACCUCUCGGAGCAACCUGUGCCAGUGUCUCACUGCCCUCAGUGUGAAACAUUUAUUCCUUAUAUAUAGUCUAAAUCUCCCCUCUUUUAGUUUAAAAUCAUUGCCCCUUGUCCUAUUGGUACAGGCCCUACUAAAAAGUCUGUCUCCAUCUUUCUUAUAGCCCCCUGUAAGUACUGAAAGGCUGCUCUAAGGUUUCCCCAGAGCCUUCUCUUCUCCAGGCUGAACAGCCCCAACUGUCUCAGCCUGUCUUCACAGGAGAGGUGCUCCAAGCUUCUGAUCAUCUUUGUGGUCUCCUCCAUGUCUUUCCUGUGCUGAGGAUUCGAGAGCUGGACACAGUACUCCAGGUGGGGUCUCACCAGAGUGGAGUUGAAGGGGGAGAAUCACCUCCUUCAACCUGCUGUCCACUUCUUUUUAUGCAGACCAGGAUUUGGUUGGGUUUCUGGGCUGCGAGUGCACAUUGUUGGCUCAUGUCCAGCUUUUCGUCCACCAGUAUCCACAAGUCCUUCUCCGCAGGGCUGCUCUCAAAUCCUUCAUCCCCCAGCCUGUAUUGAUACCUGGGAUUGCCCUGACCAAAGUGCAGGUCGUUGCACUUGGCAUUGCUGAACCUCACAAGGUUCACAGGGCUCCACUUCUCAAGCUUGUUGGGGGCCCUCUGAACAGUAUCCUGUCCCUCAGGCAUGUCAACCACACCAUUCAGCUUGGUGUCAUCUGCAGACUUGCUGAGGGUGCACUUGAUCCCACUGGCUGUGUCACUGAUGAAGAUGUUAAACUGUAUUAUAAACGUAGUAUUACAGAAAGCUUUUUAGGGUAAAAUACAGCUAUCGCCUUCAGGAUGGUUGGCAUGCAUGGAACUGACAUCACCACAGGUCCCUAAGCCACACAAGCUGCUAUCCUAGAGGAAUAGUGGAGGAUGGAGUGAAGUGGGGACACUGCGGCCAGGCUCUGCUGUGCUCCCUGCAGGACUGGGAACCUGAUGGUACCAUAUAGCCGAUAAGCUACAUAGAGGCUGUCAAAUGGAAAAUAUAUGAGAUGUCUGUUGCUGGGCCAGCAACUGUGGUGAAGAUGUAAACAGGAGCCUCAUUAUCUGUGAGAGAAGGUCGGGAGCUCAGUCCGCUCAGCACUUCAAGAAGGGACAGUUAGUACAGAUGUAGAUGAGCUCAAGAAUGUAAAUAAGGAGCCUUCUGAUGAGCACAUGCUAACUGCUAAAAGAAAACAACCUGCUGAAGAGAUAAGACUCAAGGAUGUUAGGGUAAAGUAAUUGUGGUAGUGGGAGAUCGAGAUCGCAACCUCCUACUCAAAUGGCCCUCCCGAAGAGAGUGAAUCCCCCACUCUGGGAGCAUGCCCAGUAAAUUUAAAAUGAACUGAACCUUUAAAUGACAGUGAGAGAACUUUGCACCAAUCACAAUAAAAGAAUGUAUGACUAGAGUCACCCAAGCUCCACCUAAGAGUAACGAGAAGUAAAAAAGUGAAUAAAUGAGGGGAAAAGUGGGAAAGACACCACCAAGAACAGGUUAAGGGAAGAUGCACCAAGACUGACUCCUGGGACCGGCCGAUGGGCUAAGCCUUUCUUCUCCCCGGCUUGGGACACCUUGGGUGAGACUUAAACUAAGUGCUAAACUCUAGAGAGUUACUCUUUAACAGUUAUAGCCAGGCUGUAUUGUUCAUAACUUUUCCACGUGUUUUAUACUUUAUAACAUCAUAACAUUGCAUGUGUCUUUUUGCAGACAGUCACUAUCACCAGCGAUCCAAAACCCUGUCUAUCUGUUGCACAAAUAAAACUGCACUGUUAAGU
Long non-coding RNA from Falco peregrinus (peregrine falcon), 6253 nucleotides. RefSeq lists it as uncharacterized. NCBI's taxonomy places the organism in Eukaryota, Metazoa, Chordata, Aves, Falconiformes, Falconidae. The record is from RefSeq and is a predicted model, not a curated record. The transcript is spliced from 4 exons.